This 253-nucleotide ribosomal RNA is filed under the name uncultured bacterium. RNAcentral's name for it is "partial 16S ribosomal RNA". It matches the Rfam family "Bacterial small subunit ribosomal RNA", at positions 524 to 776 of the family's 1533-position model. The record is from RNAcentral.
UACGAAGGGGGCUAGCGUUGCUCGGAAUCACUGGGCGUAAAGCGCACGUAGGCGGACUCUUAAGUCGGUGGUGAAAUCCUGGAGCUCAACUCCAGAACUGCCUUCGAUACUGGGAGUCUCGAGUUCGGGAGAGGUGAGUGGAACUGCGAGUGUAGAGGUGAAAUGCGUAGAUAUCGAGAGGAACACCUGCGGCGAAGGCGGGUUGCUGGGCUGAUACUGACGCUGAGGCGCGAAAGCCAGGGGAGCGAACGGG